Molecule: ribosomal RNA, 416 nt
Filed under: uncultured cyanobacterium
Lineage: Bacteria; Bacillati; Cyanobacteriota
Description: bacterial SSU rRNA
Rfam family: Bacterial small subunit ribosomal RNA
Source: RNAcentral
GUGCCAGCCGCCGCGGUAAGACGGAGGAUGCAAGCGUUAUCCGGUAUGAUUGGGAGUAAAGCGUCCGCAGGUGGCAAUUCAAGUCUGCUGUUAAAGCGCAGGGCUUAACUCUGUAAAGGCAUUGGAAACUGAAUAGCUAGAGUGUGGUAGGGGCAGAGGGAAUUCCCAGUGUAGCGGUGAAAUGCGUAGAGAUUGGGAAGAACAUCGGUGGCGAAGGCGCUCUGCUGGACCAUAACUGACACUCACAGGACGAAAGCUAGGGGAGCGAAUGGGAUUAGAUACCCCAGUAGUCCUAGCCGUAAACGAUGGAUACUAGGUGUUCUCUGUAUCGACCCGGACAGUGCCGUAGCUAACGCGUUAAGUAUCCCGCCUGGGGAGUACGCACGCAAGUGUGAAACUCAAAGGAAUUGACGGGG